GCGGGAGUGCCGGAGUGGUCAAACGGGUCAGGUUUAGGCCCUGAUGGCUUAGUGCCUACGCAGGUUCGAAUCCUGUCUCCCGCA
Molecule: transfer RNA, 84 nt
Filed under: Candidatus Woesearchaeota archaeon
Lineage: Archaea; Nanobdellati; Candidatus Woesearchaeota
Description: tRNA-Leu
Rfam family: tRNA
About the family: Transfer RNA (tRNA) molecules are approximately 80 nucleotides in length. Their secondary structure includes four short double-helical elements and three loops (D, anti-codon, and T loops).
Source: RNAcentral